This 982-nucleotide ribosomal RNA is filed under the name uncultured organism. RNAcentral's name for it is "bacterial SSU rRNA". It matches the Rfam family "Bacterial small subunit ribosomal RNA", at positions 118 to 1077 of the family's 1533-position model. The record is from RNAcentral.
UAAGUAAUCUACCUUCGAAACUGGGACAACCUUCCGAAAGGGGGGCUAAUACCGGAUAAGACCACGAUAUACAUUAUAGUGGUAAAAGAUGACCUCUGCUUGCAAGUUAUCAUUUGAAGAUGAGCUUAUGUCCUAUCAGCUUGUUGGUGGGGUAAAGGCCUACCAAGGCUAUGACGGGUACCUGGUCUGAGAGGAUGACCAGGCACACUGGAACUGAGACACGGUCCAGACUCCUACGGGAGGCAGCAGUAGGGAAUUUUGCGCAAUGGGAGAAAUCCUGACGCAGCGACGCCGCGUGAGUGAUGAAGGCUUUCGGGCUGUAAAACUCUGUUUAGUGGGAAGAAGGGUUUAAGGCUAAUAUCCUUAAGCAUUGACGGUACCACUAGAGUAAGCACCGGCUAACUCCGUGCCAGCAGCCGCGGUAAUACGGAGGGUGCAAGCGUUGAUCGGAAUUACUGGGCGUACAGCGAGAGCAGGUGGUCUAAUAAGUCAGAUGUGAAAUCUCUAGGCUUAACCUAGAAACUGCAUCUGAUACUAUUAAACUAGAGUGUAAGAGAGGGUGAUGGAAUUCCCAGUGUAGGGUAAAAAUCCGUAGAUAUUGGGAGGAACACCGGAGUCGAAGGCGAUCACCUGGCUUACAACUGACACUCAUCCUCGAGAGCAUGGGUAGCAAACAGGAUUAGAUACCCUGGUAGUCUAUGCUGUAAACGAUGGACACUAGAUGUUGUGGGGUUUGAUCCCUGCAGUAUCGUAGUUAACGCGUUAAGUGUCCCGCCUGGGGAAUACGGUCGCAAGAUUAAAACUCAAAGAAAUUGACGGGGGCCCGCACAAGCGUUGGAGCAUGUGGUUCAAUUCGAGGCAACGCGAAAAACCUUUACCUGGGCUUGACAUCCUGCUUUAAAUCAUAGAGAUAUGGUCUAGUCUUCGGACAAGGCAGGACAGGUGCUGCAUGGCUGUCGUCAGCUCGUGUCGUGAGAUGUUG